GUGCUAUUACGCUAACGGUAAGGCGGACUGCCUGUGGAGCAGUUGGUAUCAGUUCGAUUCUGAUAUAGCACC
RNAcentral lists this transfer RNA (72 nucleotides) under Bacteroidota bacterium. RNAcentral's name for it is "Bacteroidetes bacterium (activated sludge metagenome) tRNA-His". It matches the Rfam family "tRNA". Rfam says of the family: Transfer RNA (tRNA) molecules are approximately 80 nucleotides in length. The record is from RNAcentral. Lineage: Bacteria; Pseudomonadati; Bacteroidota. RNAcentral also lists the same sequence under 1 other name.